ACACAUGCAAGUCGAACGGUAACAGGAAGCAGCUUGCUGCUUUGCUGACGAGUGGCGGACGGGUGAGUAAUGUCUGGGAAACUGCCUGAUGGAGGGGGAUAACUACUGGAAACGGUAGCUAAUACCGCAUAACGUCGCAAGACCAAAGAGGGGGACCUUCGGGCCUCUUGCCAUCGGAUGUGCCCAGAUGGGAUUAGCUUGUUGGUGGGGUAACGGCUCGCCAAGGCGACGAUCCCUAGCUGGUCUGAGAGGAUGACCAGCCACACUGGAACUGAGACACGGUCCAGACUCCUACGGGAGGCAGCAGUGGGGAAUAUUGCACAAUGGGCGCAAGCCUGAUGCAGCCAUGCCGCGUGUAUGAAGAAGGCCUUCGGGUUGUAAAGUACUUUCAGCGGGGAGGAAGGGAGUAAAGUUAAUACCUUUACUCAUUGACGUUACCCGCAGAAGAAGCACCGGCUAACUCCGUGCCAGCAGCCGCGGUAAUACGGAGGGUGCAAGCGUUAAUCGGAAUUACUGGGCGUAAAGCGCACGCAGGCGGUUUGUUAAGUCAGAUGUGAAAUCCCCGGGCUCAACCUGGGAACUGCAUCUGAUACUGGCAAGCUUGAGUCUCGUAGAGGGGGGUAGAAUUCCAGGUGUAGCGGUGAAAUGCGUAGAGAUCUGGAGGAAUACCGGUGGCGAAGGCGGCCCCCUGGACGAAGACUGACGCUCAGGUGCGAAAGCGUGGGG
Molecule: ribosomal RNA, 726 nt
Filed under: uncultured bacterium
Lineage: Bacteria
Description: bacterial SSU rRNA
Rfam family: Bacterial small subunit ribosomal RNA
Source: RNAcentral